GCCAGCAUCAUCAACCUGCAGCUUUCACCUGCACAUCCACUGAAGCUCAGCAGGGUUGAGUCUGGUCUGUAUCUGGAUGUGAGACCUUCAGGGAAGACCAGGUUGCUGCUGGAA
RNAcentral lists this ribosomal RNA (114 nucleotides) under Sinocyclocheilus rhinocerous. Lineage: Eukaryota; Metazoa; Chordata; Actinopteri; Cypriniformes; Cyprinidae. The record is from RNAcentral.